RNAcentral lists this ribosomal RNA (582 nucleotides) under uncultured bacterium. RNAcentral describes it as "partial 16S ribosomal RNA". It matches the Rfam family "Bacterial small subunit ribosomal RNA", at positions 355 to 932 of the family's 1533-position model. The record is from RNAcentral.
UGGGGAAUAUUGCACAAUGGGCGCAAGCCUGAUGCAGCCAUGCCGCGUGUGUGAAGAAGGCCUUCGGGUUGUAAAGCACUUUCAGCGAGGAGGAAGGUGGUGAGCUUAAUACGCUCAUCAAUUGACGUUACUCGCAGAAGAAGCACCGGCUAACUCCGUGCCAGCAGCCGCGGUAAUACGGAGGGUGCGAGCGUUAAUCGGAAUUACUGGGCGUAAAGCGCACGCAGGCGGUUUGUUAAGUCAGAUGUGAAAUCCCCGGGCUCAACCUGGGAACUGCAUUUGAAACUGGCAAGCUAGAGUCUCGUAGAGGGGGGUAGAAUUCCAGGUGUAGCGGUGAAAUGCGUAGAGAUCUGGAGGAAUACCGGUGGCGAAGGCGGCCCCCUGGACGAAGACUGACGCUCAGGUGCGAAAGCGUGGGGCAGCAAACAGGAUUAGAUACCCUGGUAGUCCACGCUGUAAAACGAUGUCGAUUUUGGAGGUUGUGCCCCUUGAGGCGUGGCUUCCGGAGCUAACGCGUUAAAUCGACCGCCUGGGGAGUACGGCCGCAAGGUUAAAACUCAAAUGAAUUGACGGGUCUAGCUG